RNAcentral lists this ribosomal RNA (749 nucleotides) under Staphylococcus aureus. RNAcentral describes it as "bacterial SSU rRNA". It matches the Rfam family "Bacterial small subunit ribosomal RNA", at positions 20 to 751 of the family's 1533-position model. The record is from RNAcentral. Lineage: Bacteria; Bacillati; Bacillota; Bacilli; Caryophanales; Staphylococcaceae.
CUGCUCAGGAUGAACGCUGGCGGCGUGCCUAAUACAUGCAAGUCGAGCGAACGGACGAGAAGCUUGCUUCUCUGAUGUUAGCGGCGGACGGGUGAGUAACACGUGGAUAACCUACCUAUAAGACUGGGAUAACUUCGGGAAACCGGAGCUAAUACCGGAUAAUAUUUUGAACCGCAUGGUUCAAAAGUGAAAGACGGUCUUGCUGUCACUUAUAGAUGGAUCCGCGCUGCAUUAGCUAGUUGGUAAGGUAACGGCUUACCAAGGCAACGAUGCAUAGCCGACCUGAGAGGGUGAUCGGCCACACUGGAACUGAGACACGGUCCAGACUCCUACGGGAGGCAGCAGUAGGGAAUCUUCCGCAAUGGGCGAAAGCCUGACGGAGCAACGCCGCGUGAGUGAUGAAGGUCUUCGGAUCGUAAAACUCUGUUAUUAGGGAAGAACAUAUGUGUAAGUAACUGUGCACAUCUUGACGGUACCUAAUCAGAAAGCCACGGCUAACUACGUGCCAGCAGCCGCGGUAAUACGUAGGUGGCAAGCGUUAUCCGGAAUUAUUGGGCGUAAAGCGCGCGUAGGCGGUUUUUUAAGUCUGAUGUGAAAGCCCACGGCUCAACCGUGGAGGGUCAUUGGAAACUGGAAAACUUGAGUGCAGAAGAGGAAAGUGGAAUUCCAUGUGUAGCGGUGAAAUGCGCAGAGAUAUGGAGGAACACCAGUGGCGAAGGCGACUUUCUGGUCUGUAACUGACGCUGAUG